CAACUCCACCUCAUUGUUAGUCCAUUUAAAAAAACUCGGUGCUUUUCCUCAAAGUUUUGCCACGACUUUUCAAAGAGCCAGAAAGUAAAUGAACGGCAGACAGAAAUGAGUAUGGCUUCCACCAAGUCACCCUCCUGGAUCUGAGAAGCAGAGCGUAGUAGCUGCAGCACGUUGUCUGAUGUAGGAUCAUGACGGAAUAGGAGGAUCUUCUCAUACAUCCCAUAGAAGCCGCACUCUGUUUUCUGUUAUUUUCCAGUCUCCUUAUGGUCAUUUCAUGUGGGUAUUUUGUGUCUCUGUAAGAGCCUUUUUAUCUGUGCACAACCGGUUCCAUUCUGCUGCACAAACCUGUGAAUGAGGACAAUGUCAUCAGUUGACUGCUCUGAAAAUAAAAACAU
Molecule: long non-coding RNA, 395 nt
Organism: Oreochromis niloticus (Nile tilapia)
Lineage: Eukaryota; Metazoa; Chordata; Actinopteri; Cichliformes; Cichlidae
Exons: 3
Source: RefSeq, a predicted model, not a curated record